GGUUAAGCGACUAAGCGUACACGGUGGAUGCCCUGGCAGUCAGAGGCGAUGAAGGACGUGCUAAUCUGCGAUAAGCGUCGGUGAGGUGAUAUGAACCGUUAUAACCGGCGAUUUCCGAAUGGGGAAACCCAGUGUGUUUCGACACACUAUCAUUAACUGAAUCCAUAGGUUAAUGAGGCGAACCGGGGGAACUGAAACAUCUAAGUACCCCGAGGAAAAGAAAUCAACCGAGAUUCCCCCAGUAGCGGCGAGCGAACGGGGAGGAGCCCAGAGCCUGAAUCAGUGUGUGUGUUAGUGGAAGCGUCUGGAAAGGCGUGCGAUACAGGGUGACAGCCCCGUACACAAAAAUGCACAUAUUGUGAGCUCGAUGAGUAGGGCGGGACACGUGGUAUCCUGUCUGAAUAUGGGGGGACCAUCCUCCAAGGCUAAAUACUCCUGACUGACCGAUAGUGAACCAGUACCGUGAGGGAAAGGCGAAAAGAACCCCGGCGAGGGGAGUGAAAAAGAACCUGAAACCGUGUACGUACAAGCAGUGGGAGCCUCUUAAUGGGGUGACUGCGUACCUUUUGUAUAAUGGGUCAGCGACUUAUAUUCUGUAGCAAGGUUAACCGAAUAGGGGAGCCGAAGGGAAACCGAGUCUUAACUGGGCGUUAAGUUGCAGGGUAUAGACCCGAAACCCGGUGAUCUAGCCAUGGGCAGGUUGAAGGUUGGGUAACACUAACUGGAGGACCGAACCGACUAAUGUUGAAAAAUUAGCGGAUGACUUGUGGCUGGGGGUGAAAGGCCAAUCAAACCGGGAGAUAGCUGGUUCUCCCCGAAAGCUAUUUAGGUAGCGCCUCGUGAAUUCAUCUCCGGGGGUAGAGCACUGUUUCGGCAAGGGGGUCAUCCCGACUUACCAACCCGAUGCAAACUGCGAAUACCGGAGAAUGUUAUCACGGGAGACACACGGCGGGUGCUAACGUCCGUCGUGAAGAGGGAAACAACCCAGACCGCCAGCUAAGGUCCCAAAGUCAUGGUUAAGUGGGAAACGAUGUGGGAAGGCCCAGACAGCCAGGAUGUUGGCUUAGAAGCAGCCAUCAUUUAAAGAAAGCGUAAUAGCUCACUGGUCGAGUCGGCCUGCGCGGAAGAUGUAACGGGGCUAAACCAUGCACCGAAGCUGCGGCAGCGACGCUUAUGCGUUGUUGGGUAGGGGAGCGUUCUGUAAGCCUGUGAAGGUGGCCUGUGAGGGUUGCUGGAGGUAUCAGAAGUGCGAAUGCUGACAUAAGUAACGAUAAAGCGGGUGAAAAGCCCGCUCGCCGGAAGACCAAGGGUUCCUGUCCAACGUUAAUCGGGGCAGGGUGAGUCGACCCCUAAGGCGAGGCCGAAAGGCGUAGUCGAUGGGAAACAGGUUAAUAUUCCUGUACUUGGUGUUACUGCGAAGGGGGGACGGAGAAGGCUAUGUUGGCCGGGCGACGGUUGUCCCGGUUUAAGCGUGUAGGCUGGUUUUCCAGGCAAAUCCGGAAAAUCAAGGCUGAGGCGUGAUGACGAGGCACUACGGUGCUGAAGCGACAAAUGCCCUGCUUCCAGGAAAAGCCUCUAAGCAUCAGGUAACAUCAAAUCGUACCCCAAACCGACACAGGUGGUCAGGUAGAGAAUACCAAGGCGCUUGAGAGAACUCGGGUGAAGGAACUAGGCAAAAUGGUGCCGUAACUUCGGGAGAAGGCACGCUGAUAUGUAGGUGAAGCGACUU
RNAcentral lists this ribosomal RNA (1729 nucleotides) under Escherichia coli. RNAcentral describes it as "partial 23S ribosomal RNA". It matches the Rfam family "Bacterial large subunit ribosomal RNA", at positions 1 to 1771 of the family's 2925-position model. Lineage: Bacteria; Pseudomonadati; Pseudomonadota; Gammaproteobacteria; Enterobacterales; Enterobacteriaceae. The record is from RNAcentral.